ACCGGCAGCUCAAGUGGUGGCCAUUUUUAUUGGGCCUAAAGCGUUCGUAGCCGGUUUGAUAAGUCUCUGGUGAAAUCCCGCAGCUUAACUGUGGGACUUGCUGGAGAUACUAUUAGACUUGAGGUCGGGAGAGGUUAGUGGUACUCCCAGGGUAGGGGUGAAAUCCUAUAAUCCUGGGAGGACCACCGAUGGCGAAGGCGACUAACUGGAACAAACCUGACGGUCAGCGGCGAAAGCCAGGGGCGCGAACCG
Molecule: ribosomal RNA, 252 nt
Filed under: uncultured prokaryote
Description: partial 16S rRNA
Rfam family: Archaeal small subunit ribosomal RNA
Source: RNAcentral